RNAcentral lists this ribosomal RNA (819 nucleotides) under Melanconis itoana. Its description in RNAcentral is "partial large subunit ribosomal RNA". It matches the Rfam family "Eukaryotic large subunit ribosomal RNA", at positions 89 to 939 of the family's 3401-position model. Lineage: Eukaryota; Fungi; Ascomycota; Sordariomycetes; Diaporthales; Melanconidaceae. The record is from RNAcentral.
GCGAGUGAAGCGGCAACAGCUCAAAUUUGAAAUCUGGCUUCGGCCCGAGUUGUAAUUUGCAGAGGAUGUAUUUGGCGCGGUGCCUUCCGAGUUCCCUGGAACGGGACGCCAUAGAGGGUGAGAGCCCCGUCUGGUUGGACACCAAGCCUAUGUAAUACUCCUUCGACGAGUCGAGUAGUUUGGGAAUGCUGCUCUAAAUGGGAGGUAAAUCUCUUCUAAAGCUAAAUACCGGCCAGAGACCGAUAGCGCACAAGUAGAGUGAUCGAAAGAUGAAAAGCACCUUGAAAAGGGGGUUAAACAGUACGUGAAAUUGUUGAAAGGGAAGCGUUUAUGACCAGACUUGUGCCGUGUGGCUCAUCCGGGGUUCUCCCCGGUGCACUCCAUACGGUUCAGGCCAACAUCGGUUCUCGUUGGGGGAUAAGAACAGUAGGAACGUGGCCCUCUUCGGAGGGUGUUAUAGCCUAUUGUACGAUACCUUGAUGGGGACCGAGGACCGCGCUUCGGCUAGGAUGUUGGCGUAAUGGUCAUUAGCGACCCGUCUUGAAACACGGACCAAGGAGUCGUCCAUUAGAGCGAGCGUUUGGGUGUAAAACCCGCACGCGUAAUGAAAGUGAAAUUAGGUGAGAGCUUCGGCGCAUCAUCGACCGAUCCUGAAGUUUACGGAUGGAUUUGAGUAAGAGUUUUAACGGACGGACCCGAAAGACAGUGAACUAUGCUUGAAUAGGGUGAAGCCAGAGGAAACUCUGGUGGAGGCUCGCAGCGGUUCUGACGUGCAAAUCGAUCGUCAAAUUUGAGCAUGGGGGCGAAAGACUAAUCGAA